AUGGGUUUGCUGGUGAAAAUGGUCAACUUGCAACUAUUUAGUGUAGUGGUAUCUGAUGGUGAAAUUAUUCUCACUCAGUCUCCAGCAUCCAUGACCACAUCAUUAGGGGAGAAGGUUACUGUCACCUGCAGUGCCAGCUCAAGUGCAAGUUCCAAUUACUUCCACUGGUACCAGCAGAAGACAGGAGCCUCCCCUAUGCUCCUGGUUUAUGGAACCUCCAACUUGGCUUCUGGAGUCACAGCUCACUUCAGUGGCAGUGGGUCUGGGACAUCACACUCUCUCACAAUCAGCAGCAUGGAGGCUGAAGAUGCUGCCACUUACUACUGUCAUCAGAAGAGCAGUGAACCAUUCACAAAGUUCCACAAAGCAGAACUUUGGCCUUCUCAGAGAAGGCUGCUUCCCUCUUUGAAGAUAUCACAUAGUCAAGAUUUUGACUUAAUUGUGACAAAAAUCUCCAAAUAUUUCUGCAAUGGAAGCAAGAGUCAAAUUUCACUCAAGGGCCUUAAGCCACUUUCCUUGCAAAGAAGUAAAUAUAUAAAUGGAGAUAGUGGGAUGAGACAAUCAGAGACCCCAUCUUUUUGGCAUUCUGUGCAGAGAACUAUUUCAGAGCUGUGA
Peromyscus leucopus (white-footed mouse) is the source of this 615-nucleotide non-coding RNA. The record is from the annotation of a RefSeq genome assembly. NCBI's taxonomy places the organism in Eukaryota, Metazoa, Chordata, Mammalia, Rodentia, Cricetidae.